Molecule: long non-coding RNA, 434 nt
Organism: Gadus morhua (Atlantic cod)
Lineage: Eukaryota; Metazoa; Chordata; Actinopteri; Gadiformes; Gadidae
Exons: 3
Source: RefSeq, a predicted model, not a curated record
CUCGAGAAGUCCUGUAGCGAAGAUGAGAAGGAGAUGGAUAACUUUGCUAACAAACGUGUCGGAGGCACACAAACGAAAACCAGUCUUCAACAUGAAUGAGGUAGAUCAUCUAUUGGAGCACAAAUUUGAGACCCUGAGCAUGGCGGAAAAAUUAGAGGACACUGCCUAGGCCUACGGGAGGUGUACUCCAUGGUCCUUGUUGGUGGAGCUGAGGGCUGAAUAGAGAAUGGGAAACACAAGCCAGGGCUACAAACAGCAUGGUGGGACACUGACACGUAAGUAAGACCAAUGAUGGAAGCUCAAUCUCUAUUUUGAAAUACUUUUGCUUUUUUAUGAAAAUUACCAAUUUUAUUUGUAAUAUAUUAGGGCUGUAACUUUUUCAAAAAUGAAUUUCAUGAGAGAGAGAGAGAGAGAGAGAGAGAGAGAGAGAGAGA